AUACGUAGGUGGCAAGCGUUGUUCGGAAUGACUGGGCGUAAAGGGCGUGUAGGUGGACUGAUCAGUCGGGUGUGAAAUAUCCAGGCUCAACCUGGAGGGUGCAUCCGAUACGGUCAGUCUUGAGUGCAGGAGAGGGCAGUGGAAUUCCCAGUGUAGCGGUGAAAUGCGUAGAUAUUGGGAGGAACACCAGUGGCGAAGGCGGCUGCUCCGACUGGAACUGACACAGGAGCUAGAAAGUGUGGGGAGCAAAUAGGAUUAGAUGCCCUGUUAGGCCACGCUGUAAACGAUGAAUGCUAGGUGUAGGGGGUAUCGACCCCUUCUGUGCCUCAGUCAACACAAUAAGCAUUCCGCGUGGGGAGUGCGGCCGCAAGGUUGAAACUCAAAUGAAUUGGCGGGG
This 397-nucleotide ribosomal RNA is filed under the name uncultured bacterium. RNAcentral describes it as "partial 16S ribosomal RNA". It matches the Rfam family "Bacterial small subunit ribosomal RNA", at positions 523 to 918 of the family's 1533-position model. The record is from RNAcentral.